ACCUGACCUGACCUUCAAUGUGGAAGAGAAGGCUGGCUGGGGGAAGACUGCUGCCUGUGAAAGCCUCCCUGGGAAGGCAUUCAGAGCCAUGGCCACUAGAAGCAAACUGCAGUCCGCACUCCUGUUGCAGCUAACAGGUGCUGCUGUGCAGCAUGGACACCUUUGACAGUUACGUUGAUUCUAACCACUAGUUCCACAAUAGAUGUCGUAUCGAGUUCGCUGCAGUCAGAGGAAACCGGUAUCAGCGCACAGGCAGAUAAAUAGAUGGGCACAUUGAGUUCAACGCAUUUCCCACCGGACUGGAGGGAGGAUAACUUUUGUCAGGCUG
Chelonia mydas (Green sea turtle) is the source of this 328-nucleotide long non-coding RNA. RefSeq lists it as uncharacterized. The record is from RefSeq and is a predicted model, not a curated record. NCBI's taxonomy places the organism in Eukaryota, Metazoa, Chordata, Testudines, Cheloniidae. The transcript has 3 exons.